Molecule: ribosomal RNA, 1140 nt
Filed under: Triticum aestivum (bread wheat)
Lineage: Eukaryota; Viridiplantae; Streptophyta; Magnoliopsida; Poales; Poaceae
Description: partial small subunit ribosomal RNA
Source: RNAcentral
AUGAAGCUCGCCGCACGACCCAGAACAGUGGCGGUGGGUUUCUAUCCUCCGGCUUACCCAACACGCCGGCUCCCCGGAAGCGCCGAUCAGGGAACCUCUCACUCGUCAUCAGGCCAUUCCACUGGGACUCAAGUUCCUUUGUUCAAGACUGUUCCUGGUGCUAUGGCCAAACCCAGCAAGAAGCUCAGGGUUGAUAAACCGGCUGUAGAUCCCAAGGUUGCUGACCUGGAGAAACAGAGAAUGUCUGAGUCUUUGCAUCAAACUUCAGAAGCAGCCAUGGAUGAUCCGCCACCAGAAGAGCACCCUGUCACCACAGACCCCAUGAACGUUGAUCCAGAAAAUGCUAAGCCGCCCAGCCCCGCUCAGCCGGCUCAAGAAACCAAAGAUGUCAUAGUUACUGGGAUGGCUUACACAACACCAGGUAACCCCACAGUCUUGUCCAAGCACAGCGCCAAAGAGGAAUUCUCCAUUGUUGACAAAGGCAAGUGGAAAAUGGAUCUGGACAGCUAUGCCCAAUUCAAUGCCCAGGAGCUUCACGCGGGUUACUUGAACCGCCUCCACACCAGCCGUGACUUUGAGGCCGGCUUGGUUAAUCUCAUGAAAGAUUGUUUUGAGAGAGCAGAAGAUGCCGAAGCUGCCCUUAAACCGGUGACUGAUGAGUUGUCCGAUUUAAAACAUCAAAUUAGUAGCAUGACAGACGCCAUCUUUGGCUCCAGAAUUUCCCACCUUGGCUCAAACAUGCGCAUGAAGCUGAAAGCCGCCUACACUCUUGUAGAGCAAUUAUACACUGGCGCUCAACGAGCUAUCUCUACUGCCUCUCAUAAGAAGCAACCACCUUCUCUCAUCAAGGAAACAUUGGAAAAGUUGUUUGUGCUACCACAAAGGGUUGAAGAGUUAAAACGAUCAGCCGCCAGAGCCGGUGCCAUUACCGCCCUGAGCCGAGCAAAGGCGUGGCAAGCAGAACUUGACCCGAAAGAUAUAUCAACCGGCUGUCCCAGCUUAAAAGAAGAUGGGUCUUCCUUCAGCGCCGAUGACUUCACAAAGAUAGUAAGGGAGAUGCGUCCUUGGCAAGCAAACUGGCUGAGGAAACUGAUCUCUCCAAGUACCAUCCGGUUUAUGAUGCUGAAAAUGCCAAAGUGA